GACGAACGCUGGCGGCGUGCCUAAUACAUGCGAGUCGAGCGAACCAAUAAGAAGCUUGCUUUUUGUUGGUUAGCGGCGGACGGGUGAGUAACACGUGGGUAACCUGCCUGUAAGACCGGGAUAACUCCGGGAAACCGGUGCUAAUACCGGAUAGAUUAUCUUUCCGCAUGGAGAGAUAAGGAAAGAUGGCUAUUGCCAUCACUUACAGAUGGGCCCGCGGCGCAUUAGCUAGUUGGUGAGGUAACGGCUCACCAAGGCGACGAUGCGUAGCCGACCUGAGAGGGUGAUCGGCCACACUGGGACUGAGACACGGCCCAGACUCCUACGGGAGGCAGCAGUAGGGAAUCUUCCGCAAUGGACGAAAGUCUGACGGAGCAACGCCGCGUGAGCGAAGAAGGUCUUCGGAUCGUAAAGCUCUGUUGUUAGGGAAGAACAAGUAUCGGAGGAAAUGCCGGUACCUUGACGGUACCUGACGAGAAAGCCACGGCUAACUACGUG
Molecule: ribosomal RNA, 498 nt
Filed under: uncultured bacterium
Lineage: Bacteria
Description: partial 16S ribosomal RNA
Rfam family: Bacterial small subunit ribosomal RNA
Source: RNAcentral